GGGGUUGUGGCUCAGAGGUAGAGCACUGGCCUGACAUGCGUGAGGCAUUGGGUUCGAUCCUCAGCACCA
RNAcentral lists this transfer RNA (69 nucleotides) under Urocitellus parryii (Arctic ground squirrel). RNAcentral describes it as "Spermophilus parryii (Arctic ground squirrel) tRNA". It matches the Rfam family "tRNA". Rfam says of the family: Transfer RNA (tRNA) molecules are approximately 80 nucleotides in length. Their secondary structure includes four short double-helical elements and three loops (D, anti-codon, and T loops). RNAcentral also lists the same sequence under 1 other name. Lineage: Eukaryota; Metazoa; Chordata; Mammalia; Rodentia; Sciuridae. The record is from Rfam by way of RNAcentral.